CCUACGGGUGGCAGCAGUAGGGAAUCUUCCACAAUGGGCGCAAGCCUGAUGCAGCAACACCGCGUGAGUGAAGAAGGGUUUCGGCUCGUAAACCUCUUUUGUUGGAGAAGAUCGUGCGUGAGAGUAACUGUUCACGCACUGACGGUAUCCAACCAGAAACUCACGUCUAACUACGGGCCAGCAGCCUCGGUAAUACGGAGGUGGCAAGCGUUCUCCGGAUUUAUUGGGCGUAAAGCGAGCGCAGGCGGUCGAGUAGGUCAGAUGUGAAAGCCUUCGGCUUAACCGAAGAAGUGCAUCGGAAACCGGGCGACUUGAGUGCAGAAGAGGAAAGUGGAACUCCAGGUGUAGGGGUAGAAUGCGUAGAUAUAUGGAAGAAUACCAGUGGCGAAGGCGACCGUCUAGUCUGCAACUGACGCUGAGGCUCGAAAGCAUGGGUAGCGAACAGGAUUAGAUACCCGAGUAGUC
Molecule: ribosomal RNA, 465 nt
Filed under: uncultured bacterium
Lineage: Bacteria
Description: partial 16S ribosomal RNA
Rfam family: Bacterial small subunit ribosomal RNA
Source: RNAcentral